This 499-nucleotide ribosomal RNA is filed under the name uncultured bacterium. RNAcentral describes it as "SSU rRNA". It matches the Rfam family "Bacterial small subunit ribosomal RNA", at positions 26 to 518 of the family's 1533-position model. The record is from RNAcentral.
AGAUUGAACGCUGGCGGCGUGCCUAACACAUGCAAGUCGAGCGGUAACAGGUGUAGCAAUACAUGCUGACGAGCGGCGAACGGGUGAGUAAUGCUUUGGAAUCUUCCCAGUAGUGGGGAAUAACCAGUCGAAAGAUUGGCUAAUACCGCAUACGUCUGUAAAGGGAAAGCGGGGGCUCGUAAGACCUCGCGCUAUUGGAUGAGCCAAAGUCGGAUUAGCUAGUUGGUGGGGUAAUGGCCUACCAAGGCGACAAUCCGUAGCUGGUCUGAGAGGACGACCAGCCACACCGGAACUGAGACACGGUCCGGACUCCUACGGGAGGCAGCAGUGGGGAAUAUUGGACAAUGGGGGAAACCCUGAUCCAGCGACGCCGCGUGUGUGAAGAAGGCCUGCGGGUUGUAAAGCACUUUUUAGUGGGGACAAAAAGCUACGGACUAAUAUUCUGUGGUCUUGAUUUAACCCAAAGAAAAGCACCGGCUAACUCUGUGCCAGCAGCCGC